UCUAUUAGGUUGGUGCAAAAGUAAUUGCGGUUUUUGCCAUUACCUUCAAUUGCAAAAACUGCAAUUACUUUUGCACCAAACUAAUA
This is a microRNA precursor of Pan paniscus (pygmy chimpanzee), 86 nucleotides long. Lineage: Eukaryota; Metazoa; Chordata; Mammalia; Primates; Hominidae. The record is from Ensembl.